GAUACGACCGUACCGCAAACCGACACUGGUGCGCGAGAUGAGUAUUCUAAGGCGCUUGAGAGAACUCAGGAGAAGGAACUCGGCAAAUUGACACCGUAACUUCGGAAGAAGGUGUGCCCUAUUAGUGUGUAGUGAACAACGAAGCAUGAAUGGGUUGCAAAAAAUCGGUGGCUGCGACUGUUUAUUAAAAACACAGCACUCUGCAAACACGAAAGUGGACGUAUAGGGUGUGACGCCUGCCCGGUGCUGGAAGAUUAAAUGAUGGGGUGCAAGCUCUUGAUUGAAGUCCCAGUAAACGGCGGCCGUAACAAUAACGGUCCUAAGGUAGCGAAAUUCCUUGUCGGGUAAGUUCCGACCUGCACGAAUGGCGUAACGAUGGCCACACCGUCUCCUCCUGAGACUCAGCGAAGUUGAAAUGUUUGUGAUGAUGCAAUCUCCCCGCGGAAAGACGGAAAGACCCCAUGAACCUUUACUGUAGCUUUGUAUUGGACUUUGAACAGAUCUGUGUAGGAUAGGUGGGAGGCUUUGAAGCAGGGUCGCUAGAUCUUGUGGAGCCAACGUUGAAAUACCACCCUGGUGUGUUUGAGGUUCUAACCUAGGUCCAUUAUCUGGAUCGGGGACAGUGCAUGGUAGGCAGUUUGACUGGGGCGGUCUCCUCUCAAAGCGUAACGGAGGAGUUCGAAGGUACGCUAGUUACGGUCGGACAUCGUGACGAUAGUGCAAUGGCAUAAGCGUGCUUAACUGCGAGACUGACAAGUCGAGCAGAUGCGAAAGCAGGACAUAGUGAUCCGGUGGUUCUGUAUGGAAGGGCCAUCGCUCAACGGAUAAAAGGUACUCUGGGGAUAACAGGCUGAUACCGCCCAAGAGUUCAUAUCGACGGCGGUGUUUGGCACCUCGAUGUCGGCUCAUCUCAUCCUGGGGCUGUAGCCGGUCCCAAGGGUAUGGCUGUUCGCCAUUUAAAGAGGUACGUGAGCUGGGUUUAAAACGUCGUGAGACAGUUUGGUCCCUAUCUUCCGUGGGCGCUGCAGAUUUGAGGAAGCCUGCUCCUAGUACGAGAGGACCGGAGUGGACACACCUCUGGUGUAUCGGUUGUCACGCCAGUGGCAUUGCCGAGUAGCUAAGUGUGGAAGAGAUAACCGCUGAAAGCAUCUAAGCGGGAAACUCGUUUCAAGAUGAGAUCUGCCGGGGCCUUGAGCCCCCUAAAGAGUCGUUCAAGACCAGGACGUUGAUAGGUCAGGUGUGGAAGC
RNAcentral lists this ribosomal RNA (1247 nucleotides) under metagenome. Its description in RNAcentral is "bacterial LSU rRNA". It matches the Rfam family "Bacterial large subunit ribosomal RNA", at positions 1635 to 2874 of the family's 2925-position model. The record is from RNAcentral.